GACGAACGCUGGCGGCGCGCUUAACACAUGCAAGUCGAACGGAAAGGCCUGCUUUCCCUUGUGGAUUGCGGGUACUCGAGUGGCGAACGGGUGAGUAACACGUGAGUGAUCUGCCCCCAACUUGGGUAUAAGCCUGGGAAACUGGGUCUAAUUCCCGAUAGGACUGCAGGGUGGUGCCUGUGGUGGAAAACGAUUUUCUAGUGGUUGGGGAUGAGCUCGCGGCCUAUCAGCUUGUUGGUGGGGUAAUGGCCUACCAAGGCGGCGACGGGUAGCCGGCCUGAGGGGGUGGACGGCCACAUUGGGACUGAGAUACGGCCCAGACUCCUACGGGAGGCAGCAGUGGGGAAUAUUGCACAAUGGGCGGAAGCCUGAUGCAGCGACGCCGCGUGGGGGAUGACGGCCUUCGGGUUGUAAACUCCUUUCGACCGCGAGGAAGCCACCUGGUUGGAAGGGUGGUGACGGUAGUGGUAGAAGAAGCACCGGCUAACUACGUG
Molecule: ribosomal RNA, 494 nt
Filed under: uncultured bacterium
Lineage: Bacteria
Description: partial 16S ribosomal RNA
Rfam family: Bacterial small subunit ribosomal RNA
Source: RNAcentral